UCGGGAAUUUUGGGCAAUGGGGGAAACCCUGACCCAGCAACGCCGCGUGAGGGAUGAAGGCCCUCGGGUCGUAAACCUCUGUCGGGAGGGAAGAACGAUCGCAGGUCCAAUAGGCCUGCGAUUUGACGGUACCUCCAAGGGAAGCCCCGGCUAACUUCGUGCCAGCAGCCGCGGUAAUACGAAGGGGGCUAGCGUUGUUCGGAAUUACUGGGCGUAAAGGGCGCGUAGGCGGACCUGCCAGUCAGGGGUGAAAUCCCGGGGCUCAACCUCGGAAUUGCCUUUGAUACUGCGGGUCUUGAGGACGGGAGAGGGUCGUGGAAUUCCCAGUGUAGAGGUGAAAUUCGUAGAUAUUGGGAAGAACACCGGUGGCGAAGGCGGCGACCUGGACCGUAUCUGACGCUGAGGCGCGAAAGCGUGGGGAGCAA
This 425-nucleotide ribosomal RNA is filed under the name uncultured bacterium. Its description in RNAcentral is "bacterial SSU rRNA". It matches the Rfam family "Bacterial small subunit ribosomal RNA", at positions 355 to 771 of the family's 1533-position model. The record is from RNAcentral.